AUAUCCAGAACCCUGACCCUGCCGUGUACCAGCUGAGAGACUCUAAAUCCAGUGACAAGUCUGUCUGCCUAUUCACCGAUUUUGAUUCUCAAACAAAUGUGUCACAAAGUAAGGAUUCUGAUGUGUAUAUCACAGACAAAACUGUGCUAGACAUGAGGUCUAUGGACUUCAAGAGCAACAGUGCUGUGGCCUGGAGCAACAAAUCUGACUUUGCAUGUGCAAACGCCUUCAACAACAGCAUUAUUCCAGAAGACACCUUCUUCCCCAGCCCAGGAAAGUUCCUGUGAUGUCAAGCUGGUCGAGAAAAGCUUUGAAACAGAUACGAACCUAAACUUUCAAAACCUGUCAGUGAUUGGGUUCCGAAUCCUCCUCCUGAAAGUGGCCGGGUUUAAUCUGCUCAUGACGCUGCGGCUGUGGUCCAGCUGAGAUCUGCAAGAUUGUAAGACAGCCUGUGCUCCCUCGCUCCUUCCUCUGCAUUGCCCCUCUUCUCCCUCUCCAAACAGAGGGAACUCUCCUACCCCCAAGGAGGUGAAAGCUGCUACCACCUCUGUGCCCCCCCGGCAAUGCCACCAACUGGAUCCUACCCGAAUUUAUGAUUAAGAUUGCUGAAGAGCUGCCAAACACUGCUGCCACCCCCUCUGUUCCCUUAUUGCUGCUUGUCACUGCCUGACAUUCACGGCAGAGGCAAGGCUGCUGCAGCCUCCCCUGGCUGUGCACAUUCCCUCCUGCUCCCCAGAGACUGCCUCCGCCAUCCCACAGAUGAUGGAUCUUCAGUGGGUUCUCUUGGGCUCUAGGUCCUGCAGAAUGUUGUGAGGGGUUUAUUUUUUUUUAAUAGUGUUCAUAAAGAAAUACAUAGUAUUCUUCUUCUCAAGACGUGGGGGGAAAUUAUCUCAUUAUCGAGGCCCUGCUAUGCUGUGUAUCUGGGCGUGUUGUAUGUCCUGCUGCCGAUGCCUUC
This is a non-coding RNA of Homo sapiens (human), 955 nucleotides long. The record is from the annotation of a RefSeq genome assembly. NCBI's taxonomy places the organism in Eukaryota, Metazoa, Chordata, Mammalia, Primates, Hominidae.